This 161-nucleotide small nuclear RNA is filed under the name Callithrix jacchus (white-tufted-ear marmoset). RNAcentral's name for it is "U1 spliceosomal RNA (ENSCJAG00000083599.1)". It matches the Rfam family "U1 spliceosomal RNA". From Rfam's summary of the family: U1 is a small nuclear RNA (snRNA) component of the spliceosome (involved in pre-mRNA splicing). The record is from RNAcentral. Lineage: Eukaryota; Metazoa; Chordata; Mammalia; Primates; Cebidae.
AAGCAUCUGGCUUAGGAGAUACCACAAUCAUGAAGGUGGUUUUCCCAGGUGAGGCUUAUCCAUCGCACUCUGGAUGUGCUGAGUCCUGCAAUUAUCCCAAAUGUGGGAAACGCAACUGUAUAAUUUGUGGUAGUGAGGGACUGUGUGUGUGCUCUCCCCUG